UAAAGGAGACGACAUCGUUCACGCUAAGAAAAUUAUCCCACGCAGUCGUCAACCUACGCCCUCCAUCCUGCUGCACUCCAUCCUCCUGCAUUCUGUACUUUUCAGCGCCUCUGUGCAGUAUCCGUAGCAAGUUUGAGAAAGGGGAGCAUGCAGGAACGGCGAGGAGAGAUGAGUGCCAGAGUGAAAGUCGUGCCACCAUUGAGCACGUGCCCGUCUGCGUCUGACUCAGGAGAUCCACCGCUACCAGUGGAUUAUUCGUCAAGGAGGCACAGUGAGCUUUGAGCCAAGCAGCGCCCAGUCCACUGACGUCAAUAGUUGGGGAGCAUGCACCCACGACGGGGAGGAGUGGGCGGCCCCAUGCCGGCGCCUUUCUGAUGAACCUUGCCAUGGACCUAGAUGCGACGGUCGGUGCUUGGCGGGCGUGACGCAUUGAUCGUUCCGCUGGUGAGGUGCGGCGCGAGGAGCCUCCGCCGCCUUGCCUGAGGAACACUGUUCAUCAGGGUAAUUGUUUUCUGAUUUGUCUCAGUCUCGCUUUCCAUAUUAUCAAAGACUGUGACGACACUUGUU
This is a long non-coding RNA of Scylla paramamosain (green mud crab), 567 nucleotides long. RefSeq lists it as uncharacterized. Lineage: Eukaryota; Metazoa; Arthropoda; Malacostraca; Decapoda; Portunidae. The transcript has 3 exons. The record is from RefSeq and is a predicted model, not a curated record.